RNAcentral lists this ribosomal RNA (441 nucleotides) under uncultured bacterium. Its description in RNAcentral is "partial 16S ribosomal RNA". It matches the Rfam family "Bacterial small subunit ribosomal RNA", at positions 338 to 795 of the family's 1533-position model. The record is from RNAcentral.
CCUACGGGGUGCAGCAGUGGGGAAUAUUGCACAAUGGGGGGAACCCUGAUGCAGCGACGCCGCGUGGGUGAAGGAGUAUUUCGGUAUGUAAAGCCCUAUCAGCAGGGAAGAACAAUGACGGUACCUGACUAAGAAGCACCGGCUAAAUACGUGCCAGCAGCCGCGGUAAUACGUAUGGUGCAAGCGUUAACCGGAUUUACUGGGUGUAAAGGGAGCGCAGGCGGCGCGUUAAGCCUGGUGUGAAAGCCCGCGGCCCAACCGCGGGACUGCAUUGGGAACUGCGUGGCUAGAGUGCAGGAGGGGCAGGCGGAAUUCCAGGUGUAGCGGUGAAAUGCGUAGAUAUCAGGAGGAACACCGGUGGCGAAGGCGGCCUGCUGGACUGCAACUGACGUUGAGGCGCGAAAGCGUGGGGAGCAAACAGGAUUAGAUACCCGGGUAGUC